Molecule: long non-coding RNA, 1494 nt
Filed under: Equus caballus (horse)
Lineage: Eukaryota; Metazoa; Chordata; Mammalia; Perissodactyla; Equidae
Description: lncRNA (ENSECAG00000050490.1)
Source: RNAcentral
CUCAGAUAUGACUAGUCAGCUUUGAGGAACCAAUAUUGACUUUAUAGAGCCAAUAAAUCCCCUUGAAAAUAUCAUCCUGGUACCUUGCUUAUAGGAUUCUCAGUAGCCUUACCAGGGAGUAAGGCAGGUCACUUCCUGGCAGGUGCAGGAAGCUCAAAAUAUUUUGGAAACCUCAAGAAGAGAGGAAUUCACACAAAUCUGUAGUUAUUGCAGGUGAGUCUGAUGGAAAGUCCUCAGCUUGGUUUCCUGGCCUUGAGAAGUCUCUAAGUUCAAUCUAGAGAUUCCUUAUGAAAGAUUCCAGCCAAGCACAUUUAAAAGUGCCUAUAUGACCAAUUGCUAUUCUUGCUGCACUUAUGAAAAUAACAAGUCAAGUUUCUUGAACCUAAACUUAUUUUAUAAACAAAUUAAUCUUACUGUGGUUAUACUUGAUAGAAAUGUGAGUAACUUUAGAGAGAAAAAUUAUGUUUCAAUAGAAACUAUAAUACGCAUUUGUGGAUAUUAGAUUCUAGUGCUGUUCAUUAUCUUUUAAGGUUCUGUUUGCUAGCUAUAAACUGGAUGAGAUCCUGAAUUUUUCUAAUUUCCUCCAAUACUUGGCUACAACCCUCCAAAUGAACAUAUCCAAUUUUCUUCCACUUUUUGACUUGAAAUCAUUGAGAACUAAAACUACCCUUUUCCUGAAUCCUUCCAAACUAAAGCCAAAAAUCUUAAUAUAAAUUUCAGAAAAAUUACCACAACAGCUUAUGUAUGGAUAAUCUUUAUACCUGUUACUCUAUGGGCCCCUCAGAAAAAUCGUCAGAGACAUUCACAGUGCAAUCUAGGAAAAUCUGUCAGAUUCCCACUGUCCGCCCUCAAUCCAUCUGAAAUUCCUUCAAACCAAACGUCUAAUAAUCUCCUCGACUGGCUGCCUUUAGAACUCAAAACUAGGAUUAUAAUCUGCUCCAAUCAAUAGCUGUUGUUUUCCUUUUGUUUCAUGGGAAUGUCUCUGCUGAUUUCUUGCACCAUAGGCUUAGCUUUGGGAGUCCACCUGUAUCACUGCCUCCUGAAAUUGGACACUGCCGUUUGAUUAGACUGAUCCAUUUUCUAAACCAAGAGACUGAUGCAAUGAAACGGUGCAAUCUCCCAACCCAUCUUUUGGAUGUGAAAUGUCUCAUGAAGUUUUGAAGGUAAAUAAAGUUUGAGAUAUUAAAAAAAUGGGCAGAGGAUAUAAACAGACAUUUUUCCAAAGAAGAUAUACAGAUGGCCAACAAGCACAUGAAAAGAUGUUCAACAUUAUUAAUUAUUAGGGAAAUGCAAAUCAAAGCUACAAUGCAAGUCACCUCACACCCAUCAGAAUGACUAUUAUUAAAAACACAAGAAAUAACAAAUGUUGGAGAGAAUGUGGAGAAAAAGAAACCCUUGUACACUGCUGGUAAGAAUGUAAAUUGGUGCAACCACUAUGGAAAACAGUAUGGAGAUUUCUUAAAAAAUUAAAAAUAGAACUACCAUAUGACCCAG